ACGGGAGGCAGCAGUGAGGAAUAUUGGUCAAUGGGCGGAAGCCUGAACCAGCCAUGCCGCGUGAAGGAAUAAGGUCCUAUGGAUUGUAAACUUCUUUUGAGCGGGAGCAAUAAGGCGUACGUGUACGCCGAUGAGAGUACCGUUCGAAUAAGCAUCGGCUAACUCCGUGCCAGCAGCCGCGGUAAUACGGAGGAUGCAAGCGUUAUCCGGAUUUAUUGGGUUUAAAGGGUGCGUAGGCUGUCCGUCAAGUCAGCGGUGAAAUGCCGGGGCUCAACCCCGGAGCUGCCGUUGAUACUGUCGGGCUUGAAUACUGUUGCCGUGGGAGGAAUGAGUAGUGUAGCGGUGAAAUGCAUAGAUAUUACUCAGAACACCGAUUGCGAAGGCAUCUCACGAAGCAGCGAUUGACGCUGAGGCACGAAAGCGUGGGGAUCAAACAGGAUUAGAUACCCUGGUA
RNAcentral lists this ribosomal RNA (454 nucleotides) under uncultured bacterium. Its description in RNAcentral is "partial 16S ribosomal RNA". It matches the Rfam family "Bacterial small subunit ribosomal RNA", at positions 341 to 792 of the family's 1533-position model. The record is from RNAcentral.